AGGCAUCUGGCCUAGUGGUCAAAAGGGUUUUCUCUUGUGGAAUAACCCAAGUUCAAAUCUUGGGGUGGAGA
Molecule: transfer RNA, 71 nt
Filed under: Helianthus annuus (common sunflower)
Lineage: Eukaryota; Viridiplantae; Streptophyta; Magnoliopsida; Asterales; Asteraceae
Description: tRNA HanXRQr2_Chr12g0529091
Source: RNAcentral